RNAcentral lists this ribosomal RNA (405 nucleotides) under uncultured bacterium. Its description in RNAcentral is "bacterial SSU rRNA". It matches the Rfam family "Bacterial small subunit ribosomal RNA", at positions 355 to 776 of the family's 1533-position model. The record is from RNAcentral.
UGGGGAAUAUUGGGCAAUGGGCGCAAGCCUGACCCAGCAACGCCGCGUGAAGGAAGACGGUCUUCGGAUUGUAAACUUCUUUUGUCAGGGACGAAUAAUGACGGUACCUGGCGAAUAAGCCACGGCUAACUACGUGCCAGCAGCCGCGGUAAUACGUAGGUGGCAAGCGUUGUCCGGAUUUACUGGGUGUAAAGGGCGAGUAGGCGGAUUUGCAAGUCAGGUGUGAAAGCCCGGGGCUUAACCCCGGGUCUGCAUUUGAAACUGCGGAUCUUGAGUAUCGGAGAGGCAGGCGGAAUUCCCGGUGUAGCGGUGGAAUGCGUAGAUAUCGGGAGGAACACCAGUGGCGAAGGCGGCCUGCUGGACGACAACUGACGCUGAGGAGCGAAAGCGUGGGGAGCAAACAGG